UAACACAUGCAAGUCGAACGGAAACGAAACUAGCUUGCUAGUAGGCGUCGAGUGGCGGACGGGUGAGUAACGCGUAGGAAUCUGCCUGAUAGUGGGGGAUAGCCCGAAGAAAUUCGGAUUAAUACCGCAUAAUCUAUUCGUAGUAAAGUGGGGGACUUUCGAGCCUCACGCUAUCAGAUGAGCCUGCGUAAGAUUAGCUUGUUGGUAGGGUAAAAGCCUACCAAGGCAACGAUCUUUAGCUGGUCUGAGAGGAUGAUCAGCCACAUCGGGACUGAGACACGGCCCGAACUCCUACGGGAGGCAGCAGUGGGGAAUAUUGGACAAUGGGGGCAACCCUGAUCCAGCAAUACCGCGUGUGUGAAGAAGGCCUGAGGGUUGUAAAGCACUUUCAAUUGUGAAGAAAAGUUAACGGUUAAUAACCGUUGACCUUGACGUUAACUUUAGAAGAAGCACCGGCUAACUCCGUGCCAGCAGCCGCGGUAAUACGGAGGGUGCAAGCGUUAAUCGGAAUUACUGGGCGUAAAGCGUGCGUAGGCGGUUUAUUAAGUCAGAUGUGAAAGCCCCGGGCUUAACCUGGGAACUGCAUUUGAAACUGGUCAACUAGAGUAUGGUAGAGGAAAGUGGAAUUUCUGGUGUAGCGGUGAAAUGCGUAGAUAUCAGAAGGAACAUCAAUGGCGAAGGCAGCUUUCUGGACCAAUACUGACGCUGAGGUACGAAAGCGUGGGUAGCAAACAGGAUUAGAUACCCUGGUAGUCCACGCCGUAAACGAUGAUAACUAGCCGUUGGGGGGAUUUACCCCUUAGUGGCGAAGCUAACGCGUUAAGUUAUCCGCCUGGGGAGUACGGCCGCAAGGCUAAAACUCAAAGGAAUUGACGGGGACCCGCACAAGCGGUGGAGCAUGUGGUUUAAUUCGAUGCAACGCGAAGAACCUUACCUGGUCUUGACAUCCUGCGAACUUUCUAGAAAUAGAUUGGUGCCUUCGGGAACGCAGUGACAGGUGCUGCAUGGCUGUCGUCAGCUCGUGUCGUGAGAUGUUGGGUUAAGUCCCGUAACGAGCGCAACCCCUAUCCUUAUUUGCCAGCACAUUAUGGUGGGAACUAUAAGGAGACUGCCGGUGAUAAACCGGAGGAAGGCGGGGACGACGUCAAGUCAUCAUGGCCCUUACGACCAGGGCUACACACGUGCUACAAUGGGAAGGACAAAGAGCCGCGAAGCCGCGAGGUGUAGCUAAUCUCAUAAAUCUUUUCGUAGUCCGGAUUGGAGUCUGCAACUCGACUCCAUGAAGUCGGAAUCGCUAGUAAUCGUAGAUCAGAAUGCUACGGUGAAUACGUUCCCGGGUCUUGUACACACCGCCCGUCAUACCAUGGGAGUGGGUUGCACCAGAAGUGGCUAGUCUAACUUUGUGAGGACGGUCACCACGGUGUGAUUCAUGACUGGGGUA
RNAcentral lists this ribosomal RNA (1441 nucleotides) under uncultured bacterium. Its description in RNAcentral is "bacterial SSU rRNA". It matches the Rfam family "Bacterial small subunit ribosomal RNA". The record is from RNAcentral.